GGUCCCAUGGUGUAAUGGUUAGCACUCUGGACUCUGAAUCCAGCGAUCCGAGCUCAAAUCUUUGGGAACU
Nematostella vectensis (starlet sea anemone) is the source of this 70-nucleotide non-coding RNA. The record is from Rfam. Lineage: Eukaryota; Metazoa; Cnidaria; Anthozoa; Actiniaria; Edwardsiidae.